Molecule: ribosomal RNA, 492 nt
Filed under: uncultured bacterium
Lineage: Bacteria
Description: partial 16S ribosomal RNA
Rfam family: Bacterial small subunit ribosomal RNA
Source: RNAcentral
AUUGAACGCUGGCGGCAUGCUUUACACAUGCAAGUCGAACGGUAACAGGCUUUCGGGUGCUGACGAGUGGCGGACGGGCGAGUAAUGAAUAGGAACGUGCCCAGCGGUGGGGGUUAACGCAGCUAAAGCUGUGCUAAUACCGCAUGUGAUCGGAGGUUGAAAGCGGGGGAGCGGGCAGCAAUGUUUGGCCUCGCGCCUUUGGAGUGGCCGAUGUCAGGGUAGGUAGUGGGUGGGGUAAAGGCCUACCAAGCGGCGGAUAUGUAGCUGGUCUGAGAGGACGGUCAGCCACACUGGGGGGGAGACACGGCCCAGACUCCUACGGGAGGCAGCAGUGGGGAACUUUGGACAGUGGGCGCAAGCCUGGUCCAGUAAUGCCGCGUGCGGGAAGAAGGCCUUCGGGUUGUAAACCGCGUUUGUACGGAACGAAAAGGCUCUGCCUAAUACCUGGGGCUGAUGACGGUACCGGAAGAAUAAGCACCGGCUAACUACGUG